AAACAAAUACAUGAAUACACUCGUAAAAAAAACACGUAAAAAAAUACACAAAGAAACACACAAAGAAACAAGCAAAGAAACAAGCAAAGAAACACGAUUAAAAAAGUAGUUUGGGUUUUUGUCCUUAAUAUAUUAAAAAAAAGUCACAGUUUGGAAAAAUAUAUAAAUUGAUUUUUUUUAAACAUUUUUUUUUUAAAACCAAGUACAAUAUUCUUUAAGAUUACAUACAUAUUUUUUUUUGUUAUAUUUUACAUUUAUCUUUCAAUUCAUCUUUCAAGUCAUCUUUCAAUUCAUCUUUCAAGUUAUUUUUAAAAUUUUGCUUUUUCUUUAUUAACUUUUUUUUUUUUCUGUUCUUAAAAUACUUAAAUUUAAUUAUUUUUACAAACUCAAUAUAAAAGAAGAAAAAAAAGAUAAUAUUACCUAGCUAUUUUUUUUUUUUUUUUUUUUACAUAACCGUACAAAUAUACAUAUAUAUAUAUAUUAUAUGUACGUACGUUUGCAUGCAUAUAUGUUUAUACCAAAAGUAAAACAACAUGGGAACAAAUAAAAUUGAUAACUCUCCUUUUAUUUCUAAAAUGGAGAAUUUUGAAAUAUCUGAUAAAAAAAAUAACGAUUGUAAAAAUGAAUUAAAAAAUGUAUAUAGGAAUUUAGACAAUGAAUUUAAUUUUGAUGAAGAGAAAGGAGAAGGCAAUAAAAAUGAUGAGGAGGAAGAACAAGAUCAAAAACAAGAAGAUAAAGAAAAACAAAGUAGUUUUAAGAAUAAUUUUAAAAGUAAUAAUAAACAAGAUAUGAAAAUAAAAACAAUUAAAAUCGAUAGAAAAAAAUUAAAAAAAAUGUUUAGUAGCCAAUUUUUUACUCAAACUUUAACAGAUUCUUCAAGUACAGAAUCUGUAAGAGAAAUAAAGACAAAUAAAAAAUAUAUGUUUAUGGAAAUUAUUAAAAUGCUUUCAAUCAUGAUUUUAUUUUUUAUUUCUUCUUACUUUGCAUUAUGUUAUAUUUUUAACUAUUUUAUGGGUCAACAUAACAUAUGUGUUAAUCUGGAUUUAUACAAUUAUAAAUACGAAAAUAAUGUACAUUUUAUUCCUAGCAUUAGUAACAACAAGUAUUAUGUUUUUACAGGAAAAUUUCCAUUUGAUGUUAUAACACAUAAACUCAGAAAGGACAUUCUUAAAAAAAGUAUGAAUGAGGAAAUCGUUAAAUAUAACAAUGAAAAUCCAAAAAAUAGUAUUGAUCUAAUUUCUAAUUUAAACGAUGAUGUAAUACAGAUAAUUUCUUUUAAUAGAUCUGAUAAUCAACCGAAAUGUGAAAAAAAAAAUUUUUGAUUUAUAUAAACCUUUUUAUUUAAAAACAGUUAGUGCUGAUGUUAAUAUAAAUAAUUUCAAUUUUCUGUUAAAUGAUAUUAACUACAAAUUUAUAACAAAUCCUUAUAACAUUCCUGAACAUAAAGUAAGCACACAACGACUUAUGCAGAAAUAUUAUUAUAUAUCGGAAAGUUAUGGAAAAUAAAAUGAACUCACCUGUGUGGAUGUUACGUGUG
This 1537-nucleotide long non-coding RNA is filed under the name Piliocolobus tephrosceles (Ugandan red Colobus). Its description in RNAcentral is "lncRNA (ENSPTEG00000008031.1)". Lineage: Eukaryota; Metazoa; Chordata; Mammalia; Primates; Cercopithecidae. The record is from RNAcentral.